CCUACGGGUGGCAGCAGUGAGGAAUAUUGGUCAAUGGGCGCGAGCCUGAACCAGCCAAGUAGCGUGAAGGAUGACUGCCCUACGGGUUGUAAACUUCUUUAUAAAGGAAUAAAGUGAGGCACGUGUGCCUUUUUGUAUGUACUUUAUGAAUAAGGAUCGGCUAACUCCGGGCCAGCAGCCGCGGUAAUACGGAGGAUCCGAGCGUUAUCCGGAUUUAUUGGGUUUAAAGGGGGCGUAGAUGGGUUGUUAAAGUCGUUGUGAAAAUUUGGGGGUCAAACGUAAAAUUGCAAUUGAUACUGGCAGCCUUGAGUACAGUUGAGGUAGGCGGAAUUCGUGGUGUAGCGGUGAAAUGCUUAGAUAUCACGAAGAACUCCGAUUGCGAAGGCAGCUUACUAAACUGCCACUGACAUUGAUGCUCGAAAGUGUGGGUAUCAAACAGGAUUAGAUACCCUAGUAGUC
RNAcentral lists this ribosomal RNA (459 nucleotides) under uncultured bacterium. RNAcentral describes it as "partial 16S ribosomal RNA". It matches the Rfam family "Bacterial small subunit ribosomal RNA", at positions 338 to 795 of the family's 1533-position model. The record is from RNAcentral.